Molecule: long non-coding RNA, 674 nt
Organism: Eriocheir sinensis (Chinese mitten crab)
Lineage: Eukaryota; Metazoa; Arthropoda; Malacostraca; Decapoda; Varunidae
Exons: 2
Source: RefSeq, a predicted model, not a curated record
UUUCUCUUUUUCACUUUAUCAAUCAAUGAAGAGAGAGAGAGAGAGAGAGAGAGAGAGUUUAUAUCACUGCGACAUUUGCCCUCUUAUAGUUUUUUUUCUCAUUUUACUUAACAAAUUCCAAACACAAAAGCAUUAUAGUCAUUAUUCAUUGCCUAUGCAUAAACACAUUAACUUAUUUCAGUCUCCGGAUUCUUUUAUCAAAUGCCACAAUGCGUUAAAAGUCUGAUUAUCCCAUAAAUAAAAAAUCAAGACAAACUAACGUAAAGUCACUAAUAAUUAAUACAUCCUUGUGCCUCGUAAUUGGUGUGCGCUUACUUCCCAUCAUUAGACUCAGGUGUGUUCUGGUAGGGCACGGGCAGGUAAGGUUUGGUCAGUAAGGAGGAGGAAUAUCUUUAGGUUAUUGAUUCACUGGUUUAAUAUAGUUACUAGAGUUUGGAAGAGUUUGUUUAAUUCAUUGAUUCUCUGUUGUGUUAUAGUUGAGUUAGGAAGCAGUAUACUAUGUUUAGUUUAUUGAUUAUCUGUUUUAUCAUGUGUAACCCAACGUCUCUAGUCGCUCUUUUUCUUAUCACACACAUUCAGGUAAGGUUAGUUGAGUUAGGAAAAAGUAAGUAAUGUUAACGUUUUUGGUUGUCUGUUUUGUCAUGUGUAACCAAACGUCUCUAGUCUCUCUUUUU